RNAcentral lists this long non-coding RNA (546 nucleotides) under Homo sapiens (human). RNAcentral's name for it is "HSALNT0298191". The record is from RNAcentral. Lineage: Eukaryota; Metazoa; Chordata; Mammalia; Primates; Hominidae.
UAUCACUAUCUCUUCUUGGAGGGCCUCGGAUGUGUCUGGCCACUUCCUGCCAGGGCCAUUCCCUGAUGCUGCCAACCUUUCCCAGAAAAGGAGUGGCUCCUAGAAAGACAAGGCCUACCGAGAAAUGCAGAGGGGCAGGAAGUGAGCCAUUUCGAGGGCACUCCUGUGUCACCCUGUGCUGUUGGAGUCGCCGAGGAUACAGUGUACAGGUAGCGGGAUAGCCGGUUGCCAGCACAGGCUGGGUUGAGAAACCUCCAAGGUUGACACUGCUGUUCAGGUGAAGGAGAGUUCAGAGUCUCAGAGAGCAGCAGCAGCUUGUGCUUCUGGGAAAAUGGAAGGAUGACUCCCAGGCAGCCGAUCCUGCCACUCCGUAAAAUGGAAGAACCUUGGCUCCCCGUGUGAAUUCUCUUUGUGAUUUGGAAGACAAAUACCUCUGCUGAGUUGUCUAUGAACAGUUUCCUUGUUUUGAAAAAUGGACGAUAGCCCAGGUGCAGUGGCUCACACCUGUAAUCUCAGCACUUUGGAAGACUGAGGAGGGCGGAUGAC